GCGCAAGCCUGAUCCAGCAAUACCGCGUGUGUGAAGAAGGCCUGAGGGUUGUAAAGCACUUUCAAUAGGGAGGAACACCUGUCGGCGAACACCCGGCAGACUGACAUUACCUAUACAAGAAGCACCGGCUAACUCCGUGCCAGCAGCCGCGGUAAUACGGAGGGUGCAAGCGUUAAUCGGAAUUACUGGGCGUAAAGCGUGCGUAGGCGGCCCGUCAAGUCAGAUGUGAAAGCCCCGGGCUCAACCUGGGAACGGCAUUUGAAACUGGCGGGCUAGAGUUUGGUAGAGGGGAGUGGAAUUUCAGGUGUAGCGGUGAAAUGCGUAGAUAUCUGAAGGAACACCAGUGGCGAAGGCGACUCCCUGGACCAGAACUGACGCUGAGGCAC
This 386-nucleotide ribosomal RNA is filed under the name uncultured bacterium. RNAcentral describes it as "bacterial SSU rRNA". It matches the Rfam family "Bacterial small subunit ribosomal RNA", at positions 375 to 754 of the family's 1533-position model. The record is from RNAcentral.